AUCGCCUUCUUCCUAUUUCCUUCCAGUUCAGCCCUGCGAAGAAAAUCCUCUUCAGUGGCAAAGGGGUUUACCAUUCUUCUAACGGUCAAAAGGUCUAGGAUGUCUUGGCUGUGAGCCAUGGACACCUGAGAGCAGAACACUUUAGAGAGAGAGGUUUCAAGAGCCAUAGGGUCCAUCAGUGGUGGUCCAUUGCUAUGUUAUAGCAGCUCCUUUUCCCCAUUUUCUUCUCAUGAACAAGAGGAAGAAGAAAGAAGAGAGAUGAUGAUGUGGGUGAUCCCCUUUUUUCCUCACUAAGCCUCCUUUUAAAGCCUUCAUCUUUGUCUUUAGCUUAUUAAUCUUGAGACCCACCAACAUCCACUUGAACACAUGCAAAGGCCCACAACUAUUGACUCUAUCCAAAAGUAAGUCGAUUCUGCAGAAAAA
Molecule: non-coding RNA, 423 nt
Organism: Punica granatum (pomegranate)
Lineage: Eukaryota; Viridiplantae; Streptophyta; Magnoliopsida; Myrtales; Lythraceae
Source: RefSeq, a predicted model, not a curated record